AGGGGUAUAGCAUAAGAUAAUGUAUUUCGCUUACAUCGGAAAGAUAGUUCAUAUUGAACUUGCCUUUA
This 68-nucleotide transfer RNA is filed under the name Entemnotrochus adansonianus. RNAcentral's name for it is "tRNA-Val". Lineage: Eukaryota; Metazoa; Mollusca; Gastropoda; Pleurotomariida; Pleurotomariidae. The record is from RNAcentral.